AACGAACGCUGGCGGCAUGCCUAACACAUGCAAGUCGAACGAGACCUUCGGGUCUAGUGGCGCACGGGUGCGUAACGCGUGGGAACCUGCCCUUAGGUUCGGAAUAACUCCCCGAAAGGGGUGCUAAUACCGGAUAAUGUCUUCGGACCAAAGAUUUAUCGCCUUUGGAUGGGCCCGCGUUGGAUUAGCUAGUUGGUAGGGUAAAAGCCUACCAAGGCGACGAUCCAUAGCUGGUCUGAGAGGAUGAUCAGCCACACUGGGACUGAGACACGGCCCAGACUCCGAGGGGAGGAGGAGGGGGGGAAUAUGGAACAAGGGGCGAAGGCUGGAACCAGCAUUGCGGGGGGAGUGAUAAGGGCGUUGGGGUUGAAAAGCUUUUUUCCCGGGGAUGAAAAGCACAGCACGGGGAAAAAAACCCCGGCCUACCCCCG
RNAcentral lists this ribosomal RNA (431 nucleotides) under uncultured bacterium. RNAcentral's name for it is "partial 16S ribosomal RNA". It matches the Rfam family "Bacterial small subunit ribosomal RNA", at positions 29 to 505 of the family's 1533-position model. The record is from RNAcentral.